This 98-nucleotide signal recognition particle RNA is filed under the name Ignavibacteriales bacterium CG18_big_fil_WC_8_21_14_2_50_31_20. Its description in RNAcentral is "signal recognition particle sRNA small type". It matches the Rfam family "Bacterial small signal recognition particle RNA". From Rfam's summary of the family: The signal recognition particle (SRP) is a universally conserved ribonucleoprotein involved in the co-translational targeting of proteins to membranes. Archaeal SRP consists of a 7S RNA and homologues of the eukaryotic SRP19 and SRP54 proteins. Lineage: Bacteria; Pseudomonadati; Ignavibacteriota; Ignavibacteria; Ignavibacteriales. The record is from RNAcentral.
UGCCAGGCGCUAACUAACAGGUUAAAACUCAACUCCGUCAGGUCCGGAAGGAAGCAGCGGUCGGUACUUAAUUUGUGUAGUUAGUUAGCUUGGCAUUU